CGGGCAGGCCGGGUGAUCGCUGUUCCGGGGCUCACGGCUGAGUUCCCGGAAUGGAGGAAAGUCCGGACUCCGGAGGGCAACGCGCCUGGUAACACCAGGGGGUCGGCACACUGGCUCCGUGCUGCGGAGCGGGGUGGCGGCCACGGAAAGUGCCACAGAGAAUAGACCGCCGAAGUGCCUGGCUCUGUGACAGGCUCGAGGCAAACCUCGAGCACGUCUUCCAUGGCCGGCACUGGCAAGGGUGAAACGGUGGGGUAAGAGCCCACCGCCCCGACAGCAAUGUCGGGGGCACGGUAAACCCCGCGUGGAGCAAGGCCAAAUAGGAGGGGAAGGGCUGGCCCGGCCCGCUGAUGGCUCACCGGCGUGAGCCGUCCUGAUUCGCCACGCCGGAAUUCCGGUGCGGCGAGUACAGUCAACCCUCGGGUAGGCCGCUUGAGCCCGGCAGCAAUGUCGGGCCCAGAGGAAUGAUCACCACGGGACGCAGGCCGAACGAGUCCGGCUGGCGAGUGCCACAUGGCGUGGCACCACACGGACGCUGGACGCGCCCCGACAGAAUCCGGCUUACAGGCCUGCCCGCCUU
This 580-nucleotide RNase P RNA is filed under the name Bacillota bacterium. RNAcentral's name for it is "RNase P RNA component class A". It matches the Rfam family "Bacterial RNase P class A". Rfam says of the family: Ribonuclease P (RNase P) is a ubiquitous endoribonuclease, found in archaea, bacteria and eukarya as well as chloroplasts and mitochondria. Its best characterised activity is the generation of mature 5'-ends of tRNAs by cleaving the 5'-leader elements of precursor-tRNAs. Lineage: Bacteria; Bacillati; Bacillota. The record is from RNAcentral. RNAcentral also lists the same sequence under 2 other names.